This 466-nucleotide ribosomal RNA is filed under the name uncultured bacterium. Its description in RNAcentral is "bacterial SSU rRNA". It matches the Rfam family "Bacterial small subunit ribosomal RNA", at positions 330 to 794 of the family's 1533-position model. The record is from RNAcentral.
UCCAGACUCCUACGGGAGGCAGCAGUGAGGAAUAUUGGUCAAUGGGCGAGAGCCUGAACCAGCCAAGUCGCGUGAGGGAAGACGGCCCUACGGGUUGUAAACCUCUUUUGUCAGGGAGCAAGAACGGAUACGUGUAUCCGAGCGAGAGUACCUGAAGAAAAAGCAUCGGCUAACUCCGUGCCAGCAGCCGCGGUAAUACGGAGGAUGCGAGCGUUAUCCGGAUUUAUUGGGUUUAAAGGGUGCGCAGGCGGCCCGGCAAGCCGGCGGUCAAAUCGCGGGGCUCAACCCCGCCCAGCCGUCGGAACUGCCGGGCUAGAGUGGGCGAGAAGUGCGCGGAAUGCGUGGUGUAGCGGUGAAAUGCAUAGAUAUCACGCAGAACUCCGAUUGCGAAGGCAGCGCACCGGCGCCCUACUGACGCUCAGGCACGAAAGCGUGGGUAUCGAACAGGAUUAGAUACCCCGGUAUA